UUAUAAUAGUAUAUGUAUUUAAACAUAGUUACACAUACGUCUAUAUACACCCCGGCCCUCGAAGAGGGCCGGGGCUUAUUUAUCCCUUAUAUUUAUCUCUUUAUUAUUAUAAUUUAUUUUAUUUAAUUUUUAUUCUAAUUACUCAUGAUAGGUAAGGAAUUAAUGAUAUGAAUGACAUUAAUAUUAAUACAAGGAAAUCCAGGCUAGUAGGGAAAGUCAAGGGACAAAGAAGUUUAGGUUAAACCGAUCCUAGCUAGAAAUAGUAAUUAAAGACCUAUGUGGAAUGAAGCAUCUAAGUAACAUAGGGUAUAACCAAUAGGGUAUAUAUUAGUACCGGUGAGGGAAUUUAUAUAUUUGCUCUAGAGUAGUGCCUUGAGGCAUGAAUAUAGCAGUUACUACUGUUAAAGCUAACUAACCCUACUAAGUAAAUGAGUACUGUGAAGGAAAGGAUUAUUCUUAUUUUAUUUAUAAUUUAUUUAUAUAAUAUUAUUAAGAUUGAAAUGUAUUAAUAGAGAGCAGCUAUAGUAUAGCGUACCUCUUGUAUAAUGGGUCAGUGAGUUAACUUAUAUGGCAAAGAUAAAACUAAAUGUAAUUAGAAUUAAUUGAAGUGAAAAGAAUACGUGUAGAUUAAUUAGUCAUAUAGGUUAGACCCGAAGGCAUAUGAUCUAGGCAUAACCAAGCUUAUAAUAUAUAAACAAAAGUUAUGUUAUAAGGCUAAAUACGUAGGCGUUGCAAUGCCUUGUAAAGAGUUAUGUCUAGUAGUGAAAGGCAAAUCUGAUAUGCUGAUAGCUGGUUAUCUGCGAAAUAUAUGUUAGUAUAGCCAUAAUAAUAAUCAAUUUAGGUAAAGCACUGAGAAUGAUGAGAAAUCACGCCCCGCCCUACAUCACACCUAGCGAGCUAGGGAGUGAGUAGGGCGGGGAAUCUAGGGGGAUUGUUUAAUCUACCCUACAUUCUUAAUCUCUGAAACUAUUAUUAAUUACUUAUUAUGAGUCAGUCUUACUGCGAUAAGGUAGUAGGACGAAAGGGGAAUAACCCAGACCAUUCUGUGAAGGUCCCUUACAACUACUGAGUGGAUCAAAUCCUACACAAAACCUCUUAUUUAUAAGUAACUUCAUGGUUCUUUGAGUAGCCCAUCAGUCGGUGGUGUUGAUAGUACACACCCGUUAACGACCGUGUAACAACGUACUGAUUAAAGCUAAAUAUAGACGCAAUGCUGUAUUCUCAAGGAGUAGGAGUAGAUAUCCGGGCCUAAGUAGUUGACCGAACAAUGGAUUAAUUAUAUAUUUUAUUAUUUAUAAUUUAAUGGUAGCAGAUUAUACCAUAAAUGUAAUGGUAAAGAUAAUGCUGACUUGAGUAAUGAUAGAGAGGUCGAGCCUCUCCCUAUAAAUACAAGGUGUCACUGUCAACUAACGGUCUCUAACAUAAUAAUUAAAAAGUUAUUAAGGAUGAGUAAAAUUACAAGAAAUUAUAAUAACCGUACCUCAGACCGACCCAGGUGUAUAAAUAUUAGUAUAUAAAUAUAAAAUAUAUAGAUAUAUAUUAAUAAAGUAGGAACGGGUUAACUGUACUGAAUGAACUCGGCAAAUAUAGGCUAGGCCUAAAGCAGCGCGACUGUUCACCACAAACACAACCUACUGCGAGUGGGAAACCACCGGUAUAGUAGGUGAUGCCUGCCCAGUGCAAGCAAGAUAAGCCUUGAGAAAGGUUAAGUGGCUUGUCAACGGCGGCCUUACCAUGAGGGUCCGAAGGUAGCGUAGUACCUAGGCACUUAACUGGUGUCCCGCAUGAAUGAUCACACGACGCUGCAACUGUAUCCAGUGCAGACCCGAUGAACUAGUAAUAGUGGUGAAGAUACCACUAUGCCAUAGUAGGACAAGAAGACCCUAUGCAGCUUAACUAUACCCAUUCAUUGCUUACCAGGAUUUAAUCAGAUCUAUCUUAUUCUCUUCCUUCGUAAGCUAAAAAUUAUUUUAUUAAUUUGAUCUUGUAUGGCGGUUAGUUCCGAUGGGGCGUCGGCAUCACACAACGCAACUGAUGCGUCUAACUAUCUUAAUUAUAUUAUUACUUUUUUAUUUUUAUUUAUUAAAGUAUAUAUUAGUAUAUCCAUGUAUGGAAGCACUAGCAGGCAACUAGGGUAUAAAGAAUAAUAGCUUUACCAUGCAUUGACUACAACACUUACAAGUGAAGUAGGCACUUACGUGAAGUAUAGUGAACAGGCAGCAUCAUAUAGUUACUGAGUGUCGAUAACGGAUCACAGUUACGCUAGGGAUUUGAACAGGGUAAUCCCGCUAGAGAGUUGAUAUCGCCAGCGGGGUUUGCCACCUCGAUGUCGUCUAGGCUCAUCCUCCCGGUCGUAGCCGCUGGGAAGGGUAUGACUGUUCGUCAUGUAACGAGCCACUUGAGAUGGGUUAAAUACGACGUGAGUCAGUAUGGAUUAUAUCCUCUAUGGCUUAUACUUAUAUAUUGAUACCCCGUGUACGAAAGGAUAGGGGUGUAUUACCCAAUGGUUAUGGUUAAUUAUAUUACUUAAUUACCCUUACGCUAAGGUGAUUUUGAUUAGUACUGAACGCAUCUAGGUACGAAACAACAUAUAUAUGUAAUAAUAACAUUAUAGACUAUAAUGUAUUGAUAAUUCUUAAAUUAAAGAAUAAUAUCAUUUUUAUUUGUCAUUCAUAUCUUCACCCCU
RNAcentral lists this ribosomal RNA (2686 nucleotides) under Insectozyma chauliodis. Its description in RNAcentral is "Candida chauliodis large subunit ribosomal RNA". It matches the Rfam family "Bacterial large subunit ribosomal RNA". The record is from RNAcentral. Lineage: Eukaryota; Fungi; Ascomycota; Pichiomycetes; Serinales; Debaryomycetaceae.